UUCAGCUUGGCAGACUAAUGUGAUAAAUUUAGAAUUUAUUUAUGAGAUAAUUCAGUUGAUA
This 61-nucleotide transfer RNA is filed under the name Rhipicephalus rutilus. Its description in RNAcentral is "tRNA-Leu". Lineage: Eukaryota; Metazoa; Arthropoda; Arachnida; Ixodida; Ixodidae. The record is from RNAcentral.